This 339-nucleotide unclassified non-coding RNA is filed under the name soil metagenome. RNAcentral describes it as "partial contains 5.8S ribosomal RNA, internal transcribed spacer 2, and large subunit ribosomal RNA". The stretch from base 1 to 120 matches the Rfam family "5.8S ribosomal RNA", at positions 35 to 154 of the family's 154-position model. The record is from RNAcentral.
GAUGAAGAACGUAGCGAAAUGCGAUACGUAGUGUGAAUUGCAGAAUUCAGUGAAUCAUCGAAUCUUUGAACGCACAUUGCACCUCUCGGUAUUCCGCGAGGUAUGCCUGUUCGAGCGUCAUUUGUACCCUCAAGCUCUGCUUGGUGUUGGGUGUUUGUUCCGCCUCUGUGUGUGAACUCGCCUCAAAACAAUUGGCAGCCGGCGUACUUGUUUCGGAGCGCAGCACAUUUUGCGAUCCAGAUCAACGUACAGCGGCAUCCAAGAAGCCUUAUUUAACGCUCUUGACCUCGGAUCAGGUAGGGAUACCCGCUGAACUUAAGCAUAUCAAUAAGCGGAGGA